AGCAAAGUCCACUGGGUCUUUUUCACACUCAAGGAUCUACAUACCCCACUGACAAUCACCGGUAUCUGAGACUUCAGACUUACAAGACUCUACCGGACAUUACAAGACUCUACCGGACUUUACAAGACUCUACAGGACUUUACAAGAUUCUCUUUACACGGCCACAACUUGGAGACACUCUCCCCAACCUCAACAGACCCUCCAUCGCCAAGAAUCACGUUGCUAUUGCUUUUCACAUAACACUUUAGCACGUUCUGAAAGGGCGUAAGAAGCAAUGCUGAUCAGGGUCUUGACUUAGAUAAUACGGAGCUGCAUGGAAACCCGGCUUCUUCCGGCCGGAAAUAUUCAUCGCUCUUAGUCAUCCCUCUCAAGCUCAGAAUUAUUACUCAAUUCAUACAACGUGCCAAUGGGUACAUUGACUAGAAGUGGCUUGCUUAUAGCUAUGACUCAGAAUACAAUUCUACGUCCAGUAAGGUUGAUGGUGCAUCCUUCUCAACAAAACAUAACUUACUCGUACAUAGUA
Molecule: unclassified non-coding RNA, 523 nt
Filed under: Yarrowia lipolytica
Lineage: Eukaryota; Fungi; Ascomycota; Dipodascomycetes; Dipodascales
Source: RNAcentral